Molecule: non-coding RNA, 52 nt
Filed under: Vibrio rumoiensis 1S-45
Lineage: Bacteria; Pseudomonadati; Pseudomonadota; Gammaproteobacteria; Vibrionales; Vibrionaceae
Source: RNAcentral
UGGAUGAGUAGAAGCAGUUAAGUGUGAAAUGCACUGAAACAUUGCUCAUAUC